RNAcentral lists this ribosomal RNA (253 nucleotides) under uncultured bacterium. Its description in RNAcentral is "partial 16S ribosomal RNA". It matches the Rfam family "Bacterial small subunit ribosomal RNA", at positions 524 to 776 of the family's 1533-position model. The record is from RNAcentral.
UACGGGGGGAGCAAGCGUUGUUCGGAUUUACUGGGCGUAAAGCGUGCGCAGGCGGUCUUUUAAGUCAGAUGUGAAAUCCCCGGGCUUAACCUGGGAACUGCGUUUGAAACUGGAAGGCUUGAGUGUGGCAGAGGGGGGUGGAAUUCCACGUGUAGCAGUGAAAUGCGUAGAGAUGUGGAGGAACACCGAUGGCGAAGGCAGCCCCCUGGGCUAACACUGACGCUCAUGCACGAAAGCGUGGGGAGCAAACAGG